Molecule: transfer RNA, 72 nt
Filed under: Camelus ferus (Wild Bactrian camel)
Lineage: Eukaryota; Metazoa; Chordata; Mammalia; Artiodactyla; Camelidae
Rfam family: tRNA
About the family: Transfer RNA (tRNA) molecules are approximately 80 nucleotides in length. Their secondary structure includes four short double-helical elements and three loops (D, anti-codon, and T loops). Further hydrogen bonds mediate the characteristic L-shaped molecular structure. tRNAs have two regions of fundamental functional importance: the anti-codon, which is responsible for specific mRNA codon recognition, and the 3' end, to which the tRNAs corresponding amino acid is attached (by aminoacyl-tRNA synthetases). tRNAs cope with the degeneracy of the genetic code in two manners: having more than one tRNA (with a specific anti-codon) for a particular amino acid; and 'wobble' base-pairing, i.e. permitting non-standard base-pairing at the 3rd anti-codon position.
Source: Rfam by way of RNAcentral
GUGGGUACAGCUCAGUGGUAGAGCAUGUGCUUAGCAUGCAUGAGGUCCUGGGUUCAAUUCCCAGUAUCUCCA